UUGGAGGGCAAGUCUGGUGCCAGCAGCCGCGGUAAUUCCAGCUCCAAUAGCGUAUAUUAAAGUUGUUGCAGUUAAAAAGCUCGUAGUUGAACUUCGGGGUCUACCCAUUGGUCAGGCUUAAUUGUCUGCACUGGUGAGAUGGAUCUCUACCUUCUGAGGAACUUUCAUGCCAUUUAUUUGGUGUGAUGGGAAAUCAGGACUGUUACUUUGAAAAAAUUAGAGUGUUUAAAGCAGAC
Molecule: ribosomal RNA, 236 nt
Filed under: uncultured fungus
Lineage: Eukaryota; Fungi
Description: partial 18S ribosomal RNA
Rfam family: Eukaryotic small subunit ribosomal RNA
Source: RNAcentral